UAAGAUUUUGAACCGCAUGGUUCGAAAUUGAAAGGCCGCUUCGGCUGUCACUUAUGGAUGGACCCGCGUCGCAUUAGCUAGUUGGUGAGGUAACGGCUCACCAACGCAACUAUGCGUAGCCGACCUGAGAGGGUGAUCGGCCACACUGGGACUGAGACACGGCCCAGACUCCUACGGGAGGCAACAUUAGGGAAUCUUCCGCAAUGGACGAAAGUCUGACGGAGCAA
RNAcentral lists this ribosomal RNA (227 nucleotides) under Bacillus sp. (in: firmicutes). RNAcentral describes it as "Bacillus sp. (in: Bacteria) partial 16S ribosomal RNA". It matches the Rfam family "Bacterial small subunit ribosomal RNA", at positions 173 to 394 of the family's 1533-position model. Lineage: Bacteria; Bacillati; Bacillota; Bacilli; Caryophanales; Bacillaceae. The record is from RNAcentral.